GAUGAGCUCAAAUUUAAAAUCUGGCUGGUUUACUAGUCCGAAUUGUAGUUUAAAGAAGCGUUUUCGGUGGCAGCCUGGGUAUAAAUCCUUUGGAACAGGGUAUCAUAGAGGGUGAGAAUCCCGUCUUUGACUCAGUGCAUGCUACUAUGUGAUACGUUUUCAAAGAGUCGAGUUGUUUGGGAAUGCAGCUCAAAAUGGGUGGUAAAUUUCAUCUAAGGCUAAAUAUUGGCGAGAGACCGAUAGCGAACAAGUACCGUGAGGGAAAGAUGAAAAGAACUUUGAAAAGAGAGUUAAACAGUGCGUGAAAUUGUUGAAAGGGAAACGCUUGACACCAGUCAUGCGAGCGGAAAAUCAGUCUUUUGCAGUGGGGAGUUGUGUGGGUUCGGACCGCAAGGCCGGCCUGUGCUGCAUCUCUGCUGUAAGUGAUGCACUUUUUCGUUUGCAGGCCAACAUCAGUUUCUUCUGCUGGACAAAACUCUUGAGAAGGUAGCAGCUUUGGCUGUGUUAUAGCUCUUGAGCGAUACAGUGGAGGGGACUGAGGUUUUCGCAGCGCGUGCUUUCGGGCAAGGCUGAUUGGGUGCUAUGGGAUCGUUCGGUGUACAAUGCAUGCAUUUUGCGCCGUGUCUUUUCUAUACUCGCUCAACUCGGCUCUUCCGCGCUUAGGAUGUUGGCUUAAUGGUUUUAAUCGACCCGUCUUGAAACACGGACCAAGGAGUCUAACAUAUAUGCAAGUGUUUGGGUGGCAAACCCAUGCGCGU
Molecule: ribosomal RNA, 758 nt
Filed under: Mortierella alpina
Lineage: Eukaryota; Fungi; Mortierellomycota; Mortierellomycetes; Mortierellales; Mortierellaceae
Description: LSU rRNA
Rfam family: Eukaryotic large subunit ribosomal RNA
Source: RNAcentral